GGCGUGACGUCAUAGGGCUGCGCUCCUGCAUCUGUCGUGAUUCGGAUGAAGACAGGACAAAGUGUACAAACGCACAGAAAACAACUGGAGAAACAGCUGAGAUCCACACACGAUUAUAAAGAUGGAGAUUAUUAAACAGGAGAGUGAAGACAUGAAGAUUGAAGUCAAACAUGAAGAUACUGAGACACAAACAGACAUGAUGGGGCUGAAAGAGGAAAGAGUAGAACUGAAUGACAUGCAAGAUAAAAAUCAGCAUAAGAAACAUGAUUUUGUAACUGGACAAAAAUCAUUCAGUUGGUCAACCACUGAAAAAAAUUCAUCUCAAAACACUGGAUCUAGAGGUCAUUUCACCUGCCAAGAUUGUGGACAGAGUUUCGGAACAAACCCGAGCCUCAAUGUCUGCUGCUGACCUCGCAGAAGCAUACAAAUAGACAUAGCCAGACUAGACUAUUUUAGUACAAAUAAUGAGCUUAAUGACGAUU
Long non-coding RNA from Carassius auratus (goldfish), 482 nucleotides. RefSeq lists it as uncharacterized. NCBI's taxonomy places the organism in Eukaryota, Metazoa, Chordata, Actinopteri, Cypriniformes, Cyprinidae. The transcript is spliced from 3 exons. The record is from RefSeq and is a predicted model, not a curated record.